GUGUGUCUCGGCCGUGUGGCCCCUGCAGUCUAAUUUUUCUAACUUUUUCUUAUACUUUUCGAUUGUUUCCGAACUGUUCUUAAGUUAUUUUUAGGGCCUCGAGGGCUCGAUUAAGGGAUGUUAUGUAUGUGUUUUAAUGUAUUAGAUUAUGUUUACAAUAAUGUACGAAAUGAACAUUUUAAUGUUACGAUUGUAUGGUAAUCUCCGUAACCCUACUUCGGUGACGAAUACUGGCUAGGGGUGUUACAUUU
This 251-nucleotide long non-coding RNA is filed under the name Gossypium raimondii (Peruvian cotton). RNAcentral describes it as "long non-coding RNA (GRAI_LNC009961)". Lineage: Eukaryota; Viridiplantae; Streptophyta; Magnoliopsida; Malvales; Malvaceae. The record is from RNAcentral.